GAUCCUGAGGCUACCAUACUGUGAGGAAACCUAAGCCACAAGAAGAGACCAUGUCAUCAGCAUUCCAGUUAACAGGCCCAACUAAACCCAACCUUCAAGCAUUCCCAGGCCAGCCACCAGACAUGUAUGUGACCUUCAGUGUACUUUCUUCCUUGAGAAUAUCCUUUAGAAAAGGAUUCUCAGCGUUAGAAUCCGGAGUGGAAAAGAUGCAAUUCUAGUUUUAGCCUCUGGGGCUUCCUCUAUCAAGGAAGGACUCGGCCCUCUUGGAGGCGAAGUCAGAGCCGCACGGGCUUUUGGCUGAACUCCUAC
Bos taurus (domestic cattle) is the source of this 309-nucleotide long non-coding RNA. Lineage: Eukaryota; Metazoa; Chordata; Mammalia; Artiodactyla; Bovidae. The record is from Ensembl.